GCUUACUGCAUUUUUUCUUACACAUGUGUUUUUCUUUUUUUGAAAACUUUGCUUUGGUAGGCCUUCUAUAUGGGGCCUGCCAGAGAUUAAACUCAACCAAAUUUUAUUUAAUGUCAACCGAUUAUUUAAUAGUCAAAACUUUCAACAACGGAUCUCUUGGUUCUCGCAUCGAUGAAGAACGCAGCGAAAUGCGAUAAGUAAUAUGAAUUGCAGAUAUUCGUGAAUCAUCGAAUCUUUGAACGCACAUUGCGCCCUUUGGUAUUCCAAAGGGCAUGCCUGUUUGAGCGUCAUUUCUCCCUCAAACCCUCGGGUUUGGUGUUGAGCGAUACGCUGGGUUUGCUUGAAAGAAAGGCGGAGUAUAAACUAAUGGAUAGGUUUUUUCCACUCAUUGGUACAAACUCCAAAACUUCUUCCAAAUUCGACCUCAAAUCAGGUAGGACUACCCGCUGAACUUAAGCAUAUCAAUAAGCGGAGGAAAAGAAACUUUUUUU
RNAcentral lists this ribosomal RNA (491 nucleotides) under Lodderomyces parapsilosis. Its description in RNAcentral is "eukaryotic LSU rRNA". The stretch from base 137 to 290 matches the Rfam family "5.8S ribosomal RNA". The record is from RNAcentral. Lineage: Eukaryota; Fungi; Ascomycota; Pichiomycetes; Serinales; Debaryomycetaceae.